Molecule: ribosomal RNA, 292 nt
Filed under: uncultured bacterium
Lineage: Bacteria
Description: partial 16S ribosomal RNA
Rfam family: Bacterial small subunit ribosomal RNA
Source: RNAcentral
CGUUGCCUACGGGGCGCAGCAGUAGGGAAUCUUCCACAAUGGGCGAAAGACUGAUGGAGCAACGCCGCGUGGGUGAAGAAGGUCUUCGGAUCGUAAAACCCUGUUGUUAGAGAAGAAAGUGCGUGAGAGUAACUGUUCACGUUUCGACGGUAUCUAACCAGAAAGCCACGGCUAACUACGUGCCAGCAGCCGCGGUAAUACGUAGGUGGCAAGCGUUAUCCGGAUUUAUUGGGCGUAAAGGGAACGAAGGCGGUCUUUUAAGUCUGAUGUGAAACGCUUCGGCUUGGCCGGA